UGCCGCGUGCAGGAUGACGGUCCUAUGGAUUGUAAACUGCUUUUGUACAGGAAGAAACACUCCCUCGUGAGGGAGCUUGACGGUACUGUAAGAAUAAGGAUCGGCUAACUCCGUGCCAGCAGCCGCGGUAAUACGGAGGAUCCAAGCGUUAUCCGGAAUCAUUGGGUUUAAAGGGUCCGUAGGCGGGUUUAUAAGUCAGUGGUGAAAGCCCAUCGCUCAACGAUGGAACGGCCAUUGAUACUGUAGAUCUUGAAUUAUUAGGAAGUAACUAGAAUAUGUAGUGUAGCGGUGAAAUGCUUAGAGAUUACAUGGAAUACCAAUUGCGAAGGCAGGUUACUACUAAUGGAUUGACGCUGAUGGACGAAAGCGUGGGUAGCGAACAGGAUUAGAUACCCUGGUAGUCCACGCCGUAAACGAUGGAUACUAGCUGUUCGGAGCAAUCUGAGUGGCUAAGCGAAAGUGAUAAGUAUCCCACCUGGGGAGUACGUUCGCAAGAAUGAAACUCAAAGGAAUUGACGGGGGCCCGCACAAGCGGUGGAGCAUGUGGUUUAAUUCGAUGAUACGCGAGGAACCUUACCAAGGCUUAAAUGUAGAUUGACAGGACUGGAAACAGUUUUUUUCU
This 622-nucleotide ribosomal RNA is filed under the name uncultured bacterium. RNAcentral describes it as "bacterial SSU rRNA". It matches the Rfam family "Bacterial small subunit ribosomal RNA", at positions 395 to 1018 of the family's 1533-position model. The record is from RNAcentral.